ACAGGUAGUCGAAUAAUCUCCAGGACCUGACCUACAGCAACAACAAAGAGUGUGACCCGUUCUUACCCAUCCAUCUUUUUUUUUUUCGGUUAUCCCAAAGGUUACGUGGAAACUAACGCGUUCCCAAAACAAUGUCAUGUUAAAGAAGACGGACAUCGAGAUUAUUUCUCUGAUAGAAAAGGAAAGGAGACUCGUGUCAUAGAAAAAAAAAGCAAGGGAUGCGUUUCCUUUUCGACAUAAAGUCUCCUCUUUAGAAACGCUAAGAUGGUAGCUGUUUUAUUCCAGAGUUGAUGGACGUGAUAGGAAUUUAUUUAAAGUCAGGUAUAUUCUGUCAAACCUGAUUUGAUUCAUGUGUUCAGAUCAACUUAAUUAGAAGAUGAUG
This is a long non-coding RNA of Daphnia magna, 382 nucleotides long. RefSeq lists it as uncharacterized. NCBI's taxonomy places the organism in Eukaryota, Metazoa, Arthropoda, Branchiopoda, Diplostraca, Daphniidae. The record is from RefSeq and is a predicted model, not a curated record. The transcript has 3 exons.